Molecule: long non-coding RNA, 2049 nt
Organism: Astatotilapia calliptera (eastern happy)
Lineage: Eukaryota; Metazoa; Chordata; Actinopteri; Cichliformes; Cichlidae
Source: Ensembl
CGUUUUAGGAGCUUGCCUGUUCUUUCAAAACUGAGUAAAUGCUAAUUCUGAAACUCUAAUAUCUUUAUGUAAGCAUAUUUAAAUAAAACAAGUAGGAAAUCAGAUAUCAAGAAAUCAUUUUCUCCAAAAACUUAAUUUCUAUUGUUGGUAUUAUAUAUGUUGUAACUGUAACAUAUUUUUUAAGGUGUAAGUCAGUUUAGUAAGUGUGUAGUUUGUUUCCUAAAUCUUAAGAAGCACUCUAUUUACAAACUUCAUACAUUUAUUCCACUACAUUUAAGUUUUGAUGCAGCCUUGUCUUAAAGUCCCACCAACUUUGUCCCAAAAUGUUACUCAGAACAGGAGACAUAUUACAGAGUAUGCUUUAGAAAAAUAUGGAAGGAAAAUGAUGAAGAUAAACAGACAACUGAUGCUAAGCAACUGAUAUCUAAUGUUGGGCUUGCUCUAAUUGGCUUGGAGAAAAUCAUUUGAAAAACCCACAUAUAGUCAUGGAGUUUGUGGAGAUUAAAGGGAUUGUGUUUUGGUUUUUCGUAAUGUAUUUAGCUUUCAGUGGAUGUAAACACUCUAAAAUGAAGGAGAUAAAGAGUGCAGCCAUGCAGCUAUACAGUUUAAUGCACAAGGCUUUUUUUAUACAGAGACAUUUUCAACUUAAGUUAUAAAACAUUCAAACAGCUCGCUACAAGAACUCUAGUUGAUCAGAUCUGCAGUAGGAGCUGCAAAGAAACUGUAGUUGUUAGUUUUUUCUGAUGUUUACGGUCUAAACCAUUUCCACUAAACUUAUGAAUAUUUAGCAUCGUUGCGCAAUGAAGUAUUGUGACCAGUGCACAAAUCAGAGCUAUGCUGAUGAAAUAUCAAUACCUUUAAAUGAAAAAGUGAUUUUUUAUUUUUUAUUUUUAUUUUUUUUAAACUUUGUUGAUGAAGAUGGUUAAAGUGAUGACUAUUCCCAAGUUGAUAGGGAAAAAGAAUCCCAGAAGUAUUACAACCAAAAGUCUCACAAAUGAGAUUGAAAUUGUUUGUCCUUUUUGCUGUUUUUCUUUCUGGCAAAGCACUUAAUGUACAGUACUGAACUGAGAUUCAUGAUUUUCUAGUUUGUUUGUUUUUUUGUUAUUUUUGUUUUUUCAGAAGGAAAUUUAAUGGUACUUUGCCGUCUUUCCGUCUUUGCUUUUUGAGGAUUUUGCUGUGAUCUUUCCUAGAGUUUAAAAGUGUGCUGUUGUGAACUUUUUAAUAUGUACUGGAAACCUGAUCGAGCCAUGUCCGCUGACCUCAGUUUUUCCUUUGCUUUUUGUCUUUUGGCUUUCACUUUUGUUCCGUGAGGCUUUGUCAUCUCUCUGAUGCAACUGUUUCCGUCGUCUUUGAUCAUUUUUAGUCUCUUCCUUUGUCCUACUGCUGUUUUUCUUAGUAUUCCUGUACAGGUAAAAUGCUUAUUUUUAUUUUUUUUAUAUAUAUAUCUAUAUAUCUAUAUAGAUAUAUAGAUAUCUAUAUCUCAAUUAAAUAGAAACUGUAAAGCGAAACUCUAAUUUUCACCCUGUGCGCCCAAAAAUGUUGUAUUGAUAUCAAAUGCACAGUCUGCAGGCUUUAAAGAAUUUGUGUUCUUUACUGAGAUAUCAGCUGUAGCCGUGUUAAAAGAAUGCUUUGAGUGACCUCUUGAAUGAUUUUUCUUUCCAACUUACAGUAUUGAGUGUGUUCAUUUGGUCAAAAGUGAAUCAACAGUUAAAGUAAAAAAAAUAAGAAUUAUAGCUACAGAUUAUGCAUUUGGACUCAAAAGGGAUUUCUGUAGUUGAAUUAGUCAUUACUGAGUGGCUGUUGUGUGUCAUGUUCAGCACAUUUGUAAAAAAAUGUUUCCUUUCAUGUUUUUAUAUAUGUUUCAUUUUAUGCCAAUGCUGUCUUUCUAAAUGAAGUAGCCAACUCAGCACUGUUACAUGAAAACAGUUCAUCUUGUGUUAUUGUGUCAAAAUAAAUGAUAAACUUUGAUUCCUCUGCCAUUAACUUUUUAAUUUUUUUUUUUUUCUUUAACUCAUGAGUUGUGUGUGCCAAUAAAGCACCGAAACCUGA